GACUCUCGGCAACAGAUAUCUCGGCUCUCGCAUCGAUGAAGAACGUAGCGAAAUGCGAUACCUGGUGUGAAUUGCAGAAUCCCGUGAACCAUCGAGUCUUUGAACGCAAGUUGCGCCCGAGGCCACUCGGCCGAGGGCACGCCUGCCUGGGCGUCA
This 156-nucleotide ribosomal RNA is filed under the name Triticum aestivum (bread wheat). RNAcentral describes it as "rRNA 5_8S_rRNA". It matches the Rfam family "5.8S ribosomal RNA". Rfam says of the family: 5.8S ribosomal RNA (5.8S rRNA) is a component of the large subunit of the eukaryotic ribosome. Lineage: Eukaryota; Viridiplantae; Streptophyta; Magnoliopsida; Poales; Poaceae. The record is from Rfam by way of RNAcentral.